AGGGGUCUGAGCGAGAUAAUGACUGGAGCUUCCUGUAUGCAUGAGCCAACAACUAACACACUCAUCAACGACACAGAGAAACCGACCAGAGGACGACCCUACGCAGGAUAUCCGACAUUUAAUCUGAUUUCUGGAUUACGCGUCAGCGACUAACGAUAACAAAGCACUUGCCUUCUCACUUAUUUCAACCCCUCGUCAAAAACGGAUACUCAUCUGAAAAAGGACAUUUAUUAUUUCACCCUCUCGAGUCACGGUGUAAGUCGACCCUCGUUCUAGUUGCUGUAACUUCUAGGAAGGUUAAGUAACCAGUAUGGCACGUACUCACUAACUAUUCGACUCAACUCCUACAUAAAACAAUUUAUUGAACUUAUCGAUGGCGUCAGAAGUUGAGCCUUGUGCUUGGUCUGUCAACUUGGUACUGAGAAAAAUGAUUACAACCCAAGCAAUACAAGUGUAAUUGUUAUUAUGUAAAUUGUAAUGAAAUUAUUUUUAUUAAUAAUGAUUACAUUCAUUAACUUUUAAUUUAAAAAA
Long non-coding RNA from Chelonus insularis, 531 nucleotides. RefSeq lists it as uncharacterized. The transcript has 2 exons. The record is from RefSeq and is a predicted model, not a curated record. NCBI's taxonomy places the organism in Eukaryota, Metazoa, Arthropoda, Insecta, Hymenoptera, Braconidae.